This 253-nucleotide ribosomal RNA is filed under the name uncultured bacterium. Its description in RNAcentral is "partial 16S ribosomal RNA". It matches the Rfam family "Bacterial small subunit ribosomal RNA", at positions 524 to 776 of the family's 1533-position model. The record is from RNAcentral.
UACGUAGGGUGCAAGCGUUGUCCGGAAUUAUUGGGCGGAAAGAGCUCGUAGGCGGUCUGUCGCGUCGGCUGUGAAAACCCGGAGCUCAACUCCGGGCCUGCAGUCGAUACGGGCAAACUGGAGUGUUGCAGGGGAGACUGGAAUUCCUGGUGUAGCGGUGAAAUGCGCAGAUAUCAGGAGGAACACCGGUGGCGAAGGCGGGUCUCUGGGCAACAACUGACGCUGAGGAGCGAAAGCGUGGGGAGCGAACAGG